CCCAUGCGAGAUCCAGAGCAUCAGCACUACAACUCCUACGAGCAGUUUCCGAAGCAGCAGCACCCGGC
RNAcentral lists this non-coding RNA (68 nucleotides) under Crypthecodinium cohnii. The record is from RNAcentral. Lineage: Eukaryota; Dinophyceae; Gonyaulacales; Crypthecodiniaceae.